This 795-nucleotide ribosomal RNA is filed under the name uncultured bacterium. Its description in RNAcentral is "bacterial SSU rRNA". It matches the Rfam family "Bacterial small subunit ribosomal RNA", at positions 124 to 919 of the family's 1533-position model. The record is from RNAcentral.
ACCUUCCGCUUACUCGGGGAUAGCCUUUCGAAAGAAAGAUUAAUACCCGAUGGUAUCUUAAGCACGCAUGAGAUUAAGAUUAAAGAUUUAUCGGUAAGCGAUGGGGAUGCGUUCCAUUAGGCAGUUGGCGGGGUAACGGCCCACCAAACCUACGAUGGAUAGGGGUUCUGAGAGGAAGGUCCCCCACAUUGGAACUGAGACACGGUCCAAACUCCUACGGGAGGCAGCAGUGAGGAAUAUUGGUCAAUGGGCGAGAGCCUGAACCAGCCAAGUAGCGUGAAGGAUGACGGCCCUACGGGUUGUAAACUUCUUUUGUGCGGGAAUAAAGGAACCUACGUGUAGGUUUUUGCAUGUACCGUAACGAAUAAGCAUCGGCUAACUCCGUGCCAGCAGCCGCGGUAAUACGGAGGAUGCGAGCGUUAUCCGGAUUUAUUGGGUUUAAAGGGAGCGUAGACGGGUUUUUAAGUCAGCUGUGAAAGUUUGGGGCUCAACCUUAAAAUUGCAGUUGAAACUGGAGACCUUGAGUACGGUUGAGGCAGGCGGAAUUCGUGGUGUAGCGGUGAAAUGCUUAGAUAUCACGAAGAACCCCGAUUGCGAAGGCAGCCUGCUAAGCCGCCACUGACGUUGAGGCUCGAAAGUGCGGGUAUCAAACAGGAUUAGAUACCCUGGUAGUCCGCACGGUAAACGAUGGAUACUCGCUGUUGGCGAUAGACAGUCAGCGGCCAAGCGAAAGCGUUAAGUAUCCCACCUGGGGAGUACGCCGGCAACGGUGAAACUCAAAGGAAUUGACGGGGG